RNAcentral lists this ribosomal RNA (309 nucleotides) under uncultured bacterium. RNAcentral's name for it is "partial 16S ribosomal RNA". It matches the Rfam family "Bacterial small subunit ribosomal RNA", at positions 504 to 807 of the family's 1533-position model. The record is from RNAcentral.
AGAGACAGCAGUAGCCACGGGAAUACAGAGGGUGCGAGCGUUAAUCGGAUUUACUGGGCGUAAAGCGUGCGUAGGCGGCUAAUUGAGUCGGAUGUGAAAUCCCCGAGCUUAACUUGGGAAUUGCAUUCGAUACUGGUUAGCUAGAGUGUGGGAGAGGAUGGUAGAAUUCCAGGUGUAGCGGUGAAAUGCGUAGAGAUCUGGAGGAAUACCGAUGGCGAAGGCAGCCAUCUGGCCUAACACUGACGCUGAGGUACGAAAGCAUGGGGAGCAAACAGGAUUAGAUACCCCAGUAGUCCCUGUCUCUUAUAC